UACAGUGUGGCAUAGUGAUUUGAGUGCCGGACUAUGACUCUGGAUGCUAGAGUUCAAUUCCCUGCUUAGCCA
This is a non-coding RNA of Phrynosoma platyrhinos (Desert horned lizard), 72 nucleotides long. Lineage: Eukaryota; Metazoa; Chordata; Lepidosauria; Squamata; Phrynosomatidae. The record is from the annotation of a GenBank genome assembly.